AUACGGAGGGUGCUAGCGUUGUUCGGAAUUACUGGGCGUAAAGCGCGCGUAGCCGGAUCGUUAAGUCAGGGGUGAAAGCCCGGAGCUCAACUCCGGAACUGCCCUUGAUACUGGCGAUCUCGAGUCCGGGAGAGGUGAGCGGAAUUCCUAGUGUAGAGGUGAAAUUCGUAGAUAUUAGGAGGAACACCAGUGGCGAAGGCGGCUCACUGGCCCGGUACUGACGCUGAGGUGCGAAAGCGUGGGGAGCAAACAGGAUUAGAUACCCUAGUAGUCC
This 274-nucleotide ribosomal RNA is filed under the name uncultured bacterium. RNAcentral describes it as "partial 16S ribosomal RNA". It matches the Rfam family "Bacterial small subunit ribosomal RNA", at positions 523 to 796 of the family's 1533-position model. The record is from RNAcentral.